AUGGAGCAAAACAGCACGCUUCUUCGGCGCGUGCUGCAGAAGGCAGCACGAGCAGCAAGAACCAUCGCUUACCUCCGCCCAUCUCCUCCUCCGACACCGUCAACACCCUGCCGCCGUCUCCCGCCCAGCCUGCUGGACUGCACUGACGACGACGACGGCGGGUCUCCGAGCUUCCACACGGCGGCAAGCACGCCAGCGGAGACGCCGCCGUCCGUCCACUCGAGGAUAGACAGCCCUGGCGCCGCCGACAUCGACAGCCGCGCCGCGGAGUUCAUCGAGAGGUUCCGGCGCAACGCGUCCCUCGAGCUGCGGUACUGCUCCCCGGUGACCCCCGCCAGGCCGCCCGCGUCGCCGGACACCUACUUCAACCUCUCGAGGCUGCACGGCCCGGCGCUGGCACAUGCGCGGCCGGUGUGCAGGAGGAGCUCGCCGGGGGCGAGGGCGAGCGCGAGCGCUACGUCCAUCAAUUGGCCGAGUACCACGUGCCUCGGAAGAAGGCCUACUGUUCAGGUGUAG
Molecule: ribosomal RNA, 516 nt
Filed under: Triticum aestivum (bread wheat)
Lineage: Eukaryota; Viridiplantae; Streptophyta; Magnoliopsida; Poales; Poaceae
Description: partial small subunit ribosomal RNA
Source: RNAcentral